GUUUAUUAUUCCUCUAUACUGUCAGGUGUUCGUUUAUUAUUCCUCUACACUGUUAGGUGUUCGUUUAUUAUUCCUCUACACUGUCAGGUGUUCGUUUAUUAUUCCUCUACACUGUUAGGUGUUCGUUUAUUAUUCCUCUACACUGUCAGGUGUUCGUUUAUUAUUCCUCUACACUGUCAGGUGUUCGUUUAUUAUUCCUCUACACUGUCUGGUGUUUGUUUAUUAUUCCUCUAUACUGUCAGGUGUUCGUUUAUUAUUCCUCUAUACUGUUAGGUGUUCGUUUAUUAUUCCUCUACACUGUCAGGUGUUCGUUUAUUAUUCCUCUAUACUGUCAGGUGUUCGUUUAUUAUUCCUCUACACUGUUAGGUGUUCGUUUAUUAUUCCUCUACACUGUCUGGUGUUCGUUUAUUAUUCCUCUAUACUGUCAGGUGUUCGUUUAUUAUUCCUCUACACUGUCAGGUGUUCGUUUAUUAUUCCUCUACACUGUCAGGUGUUCGUUUAUUAUUCCUCUAUACUGUCAGGUGUUCGUUUAUUAUUCCUCUACACUGUUAGGUGUUCGUUUAUUAUUCCUCUACACUGUCAGGUGUUCGUUUAUUAUUCCUCUACACUGUCAGGUGUUUGUUUAUUAUUCCUCUACACUGUCUGGUGUUCGUUUAUUAUUCCUCUACACUGUCAGGUGUUUGUUUAUUAUUCCUAUACACUGUCAGGUGUUCGUUUAUUAUUCCUCUACACUGUCUGGUGUUUGUUUAUUAUUCCUAUACACUGUCAGGUGUUCGUUUAUUAUUCCUCUACACUGUCAGGUGUUCGUUUAUUAUUCCUCUACACUGUUAGGUGUUCGUUUAUUAUUCCUCUACACUGUUAGGUGUUCGUUUAUUAUUCCUCUAGACUGUUAGGUGUUCGUUUAUUAUUCCUCUACACUGUCAGGUGUUCGUUUAUUAUUCCUCUACACUGUUAGGUGUUAGUUUAUUAUUCCUCUACACUGUCUGGUGUUAGUUUAUUAUUCCUCUACACUGUUAGGUGUUCGUUUAU
Oncorhynchus keta (chum salmon) is the source of this 1029-nucleotide long non-coding RNA. RefSeq lists it as uncharacterized. NCBI's taxonomy places the organism in Eukaryota, Metazoa, Chordata, Actinopteri, Salmoniformes, Salmonidae. The transcript is spliced from 4 exons. The record is from RefSeq and is a predicted model, not a curated record.